Molecule: ribosomal RNA, 490 nt
Filed under: uncultured bacterium
Lineage: Bacteria
Description: partial 16S ribosomal RNA
Rfam family: Bacterial small subunit ribosomal RNA
Source: RNAcentral
AAUGAACGUUGGCGGCAUGGAUUAGGCAUGCAAGUCGAGCGAGAAGAGUUUUGAAGCUUGCUUUAGAACCCGGACAGCGGCGAAAGGGAGAGUAACGCGUAGUUAUGUGCCCUAGGGUCCGGAAUAGCCACGGGAAACUGUGGGUAAUGCCGGAUAAUAUCCCCGGAUCAAAGGUGUGAUUCCGCCCUAGGAGCAGACUGCGUCCUACUAGCUAGUUGGUGGGGUAAUGGCCCACCAAGGCAAUGAUGGGUAGCGGGUGUGAGAGCAUGACCCGUCUCACUGGGACUGAGACACUGCCCAGACACCUACGGGUGGCUGCAGUCGAGAAUCUUCGGCAAUGGGCGAAAGCCUGACCGAGCGAUGCCGCGUGCGGGAUGAAGGCCCUCGGGUUGUAAACCGCUGUCGUAGGGGAGGAAGGUUCCGUGAAGAGCGGGACUUGACCUAUCCUAGGAGGAAGUACGGGCUAAGUUCGUGCCAGCAGCCGCCGUAA